RNAcentral lists this ribosomal RNA (569 nucleotides) under Streptomyces ambofaciens. RNAcentral's name for it is "bacterial SSU rRNA". It matches the Rfam family "Bacterial small subunit ribosomal RNA", at positions 246 to 827 of the family's 1533-position model. Lineage: Bacteria; Bacillati; Actinomycetota; Actinomycetes; Kitasatosporales; Streptomycetaceae. The record is from RNAcentral.
UUGUUGGUGAGGUAGUGGCUCACCAAGGCGACGACGGGUAGCCGGCCUGAGAGGGCGACCGGCCACACUGGGACUGAGACACGGCCCAGACUCCUACGGGAGGCAGCAGUGGGGAAUAUUGCACAAUGGGCGAAAGCCUGAUGCAGCGACGCCGCGUGAGGGAUGACGGCCUUCGGGUUGUAAACCUCUUUCAGCAGGGAAGAAGCGAAAGUGACGGUACCUGCAGAAGAAGCGCCGGCUAACUACGUGCCAGCAGCCGCGGUAAUACGUAGGGCGCAAGCGUUGUCCGGAAUUAUUGGGCGUAAAGAGCUCGUAGGCGGCUUGUCACGUCGGUUGUGAAAGCCCGGGGCUUAACCCCGGGUCUGCAGUCGAUACGGGCAGGCUAGAGUUCGGUAGGGGAGAUCGGAAUUCCUGGUGUAGCGGUGAAAUGCGCAGAUAUCAGGAGGAACACCGGUGGCGAAGGCGGAUCUCUGGGCCGAUACUGACGCUGAGGAGCGAAAGCGUGGGGAGCGAACAGGAUUAGAUACCCUGGUAGUCCACGCCGUAAACGGUGGGCACUAGGUGUGGGC